RNAcentral lists this ribosomal RNA (252 nucleotides) under uncultured bacterium. RNAcentral describes it as "partial 16S ribosomal RNA". It matches the Rfam family "Bacterial small subunit ribosomal RNA", at positions 524 to 776 of the family's 1533-position model. The record is from RNAcentral.
UACAGAGGUCUCAAGCGUUGUUCGGAUUCAUUGGGCGUAAAGGGUGCGUAGGCGGCGCGGUAAGUCGGAUGUGAAAUCUCGGAGCUUAACUUCGAAACUGCAUUCGAUACUGCCGUGCUUGAGGACUGGAGAGGAGACUGGAAUUUACGGUGUAGCGGUGAAAUGCGUAGAUAUCGUAAGGAAGACCAGUGGCGAAGGCGGGUCUCUGGACAGUUCCUGACGCUGAGGCACGAAGGCCAGGGAGCAAACGGG